RNAcentral lists this ribosomal RNA (463 nucleotides) under uncultured Gammaproteobacteria bacterium. Its description in RNAcentral is "bacterial SSU rRNA". It matches the Rfam family "Bacterial small subunit ribosomal RNA", at positions 20 to 486 of the family's 1533-position model. The record is from RNAcentral. Lineage: Bacteria; Pseudomonadati; Pseudomonadota; Gammaproteobacteria.
UGGCUCAGAUUGAACGCUGGCGGCAGGCUUAACACAUGCAAGUCGAGCGGAAACGAAAGUAGCUUGCUACUAGGCGUCGAGCGGCGGACGGGUGAGUAACGCGUAGGAAUCUGCCAGGUAGUGGGGGAUAGCCCAGAGAAAUUUGGAUUAAUACCGCAUACGCCCUAAGGGGGAAAGGAGGGGAUCUUAGGACCUUUCGCUAUUUGAGGAGCCUGCGUGAGAUUAGCUGGUUGGUAGGGUAAAGGCCUACCAAGGCGACGAUCUCUAGCUGGUCUGAGAGGAUGAUCAAGCCACACUGGGACUGAGACACGGCUCAGACUCCUACGGGAGGCAGCAGUGGGGAAUAUUGCACAAUGGGGGAAACCCUGAUGCAGCCAUGCCGCGUGUGUGAAGAAGGCUUUCGGGUUGUAAAGCACUUUCANCGAGGGGGAAAGGGUGCAAGUUAAUCCUUGUAUCUUGUGAC